Molecule: ribosomal RNA, 253 nt
Filed under: uncultured bacterium
Lineage: Bacteria
Description: partial 16S ribosomal RNA
Rfam family: Bacterial small subunit ribosomal RNA
Source: RNAcentral
UACAGAGGGUGCAAGCGUUAAUCGGAAUUACUGGGCGUAAAGCGCGCGUAGGCGGUUGUGUAAGUUGGAUGUGAAAGCCCCGGGCUCAACCUGGGAAUGGCAUUCAAAACUGCACGGCUAGAGUAUUGGAGAGGAAGGUAGAAUUCCAGGUGUAGCGGUGAAAUGCGUAGAGAUCUGGAGGAAUACCGAUGGCGAAGGCAGCCUUCUGGCCAAAUACUGACGCUGAGGUGCGAAAGCAUGGGGAGCAAACAGG